This 512-nucleotide ribosomal RNA is filed under the name Bacillus sp. 73endo. RNAcentral describes it as "partial 16S ribosomal RNA". It matches the Rfam family "Bacterial small subunit ribosomal RNA", at positions 215 to 719 of the family's 1533-position model. The record is from RNAcentral. Lineage: Bacteria; Bacillati; Bacillota; Bacilli; Caryophanales; Bacillaceae.
UCACUUAYAGAUGGGCCCGCGGYGCAUUAGCUAGUUGGUGAGGUAAYGGCUCACCAAGGCRACGAUGCRUAGCCGACCUGAGAGGGUGAUCGGCCACACUGGGACUGAGACACGGCCCAGACUCCUACGGGAGGCAGCAGUAGGGAAUCUUCCGCAAUGGACGAAAGUCUGACGGAGCAACGCCGCGUGARYGAWGAAGGCYUUCGGGUCGUAAARYUCUGUUGUUAGGGAAGAACAAGUACSAGAGUAACUGCUSGUACCUUGACGGUACCUAACCAGAAAGCCACGGCUAACUACGUGCCAGCAGCCGCGGUAAUACGUAGGUGGCAAGCGUURUCCGGAAUUAUUGGGCGUAAAGCGCGCGCAGGYGGUUYCUUAAGUCUGAUGUGAAAGCCCACGGCUCAACCGUGGAGGGUCAUUGGAAACUGGGGAACUUGAGUGCAGAAGAGRAAAGYGGAAUUCCAMGUGUAGCGGUGAAAUGCGUAGAGAUKUGGAGGAACACCAGUGGCGAA